RNAcentral lists this long non-coding RNA (503 nucleotides) under Bos mutus (wild yak). Its description in RNAcentral is "lncRNA (ENSBMUG00000024625.1)". The record is from RNAcentral. Lineage: Eukaryota; Metazoa; Chordata; Mammalia; Artiodactyla; Bovidae.
GUCAGGGCAGUGGCUGAGUCUGCUUGCCGGGGGUCAGGAAGGCUGUUCUUCCAGGAAGGGCUGCAGAGACCCUGGGAACAGGACUAGGCUGCUCACAAGUAUGAAGAGAAUGUCGGGAGAGGAAGUGGUGGCUGUGAGUCAGCAUGAGUCAUCUCGUUCCAAUGAGAAUGAAGACUGAGGUGUGCGCCUUUUUUUUCUCUCUCUCACUUUUUAAAUUUUUUUUAUUUUUUUGAGUCUCAAUCGUGUGGACAUCACUGGGAAUGGAGGGAAAUAACUGACUGAAUGGUCGUUGCUUUUAAGUUUCAAACCGACAUUCCAGGCGGGUUGUGUCUGAGCCAGCCUCGGGCUUUCAGACCUUCACAGCCUGGUCCUGAGAAGGUAGAGCUCUCAGCUUCUCCCUGAGUUGUCACAGUGCUCAACCUGGAUUCAACUGCUCCUCCCCACAGCUAUCCCUCGCUGACUCCACCAGGGUAGGUUUCAUCUGUGUGAUUCCGUGUUGUCCC